RNAcentral lists this long non-coding RNA (988 nucleotides) under Olea europaea subsp. europaea. Lineage: Eukaryota; Viridiplantae; Streptophyta; Magnoliopsida; Lamiales; Oleaceae. The record is from RNAcentral.
CCUGAAAUUAAUUAUCUCAGUUGUAAAAUUCGCUGUUGUUUAAGAAAUGACUGAGAUGUAACUUGCUCUGUAUGGGUAAAUCAAUGUUUUAGAGUAUGUUCGGCUAUGUCUAACAAAAAUUUAAAGUAUUUUUCCUGAAAGUAUAUAAAUUGUAUAACUAAAAAUUUUAUAUUCUUAGUUAUCUCGGACUUAUUUUGCAAAAAAGGAAAUUGCUUGAAAAGAAACUUAAGCUUUGCCAACAUGCUCUUAAUCAGCACCUAAUGCUCUAUAUUGCUCAACUGGUCUAUCUGGUGGUGUUUGCUCACUUUUAUAUCAUCCUUUUUUACUUCUUGGAACUGUCUUUUCUUGGACUCUUAUAAUUGUGCCAUUAUUAUCUUUAGAGAAAAUGAAACAAGAGAUUUCUGAAAUUCAAGCUGCUUUGGAUUAUGCUGAUGUUUUUGUAAUGCAAAAGCUUCCUACCUUGAUCUUGUUAUGAGUUUCCUCUCAGUACUAACCUAAAAUGAGUUGUAUUUUCCCAGAUUAGAAAAUGGACCUUGAGGCAAGAAGCUUGCAGCAAAGCUUGAAGGCUACACUACUUGCUAAGCUCAGGGAAUAUAAAUCUGAUCUGAAUAAGAUGAAAAGGGAAUUGAAAAAAAUAACUUUGCCUAAGUCAAACGUUCUGGCCAUGAAGAGUUGUUAGAAUCUGGAAUGGCUGGUGCAAAUUCGGUAUGCGUGCAUUCAAUUUCCCUGUUGAUUUUUUUUGUCCUUAAUAUAUAAGGUAUGUAUAUAUUGCAUGGAGAACUGCAAUUAGCUUUGACGAUGUAGCAUCAUCUAGCCUCACUGGAGAUAAUUCAUCUGUGUCUGGUUGCAUGAUGAGUGGAUGCUUAUAUUUUACUAUUAAUAGAGCCGUGUAAAAAUUCUCCUUGUGCAUUAUUUUAUUUAAAAGAAAAUUUAAUAUUGGGAUUCAGCAUCUUUUAUGGUUUUUGGUUUUCAACUCCUGGAAAAACUU